This 253-nucleotide ribosomal RNA is filed under the name uncultured bacterium. RNAcentral describes it as "partial 16S ribosomal RNA". It matches the Rfam family "Bacterial small subunit ribosomal RNA", at positions 524 to 776 of the family's 1533-position model. The record is from RNAcentral.
UACGUAGGGUGCAAGCGUUGUCCGGAAUUAUUGGGCGUAAAGAGCUCGUAGGCGGUUUGUCGCGUCGGCUGUGAAAACCUAGGGCUCAACUCUGGGCUUGCAGCCGAUACGGGCAAACUAGAAUUCGGUAGGGGAGACUGGAAUUUACGGUGUAGCAGUGAAAUGCGUAGAUAUCGUAAGGAAGGCCGGUGGCGAAAGCGAGCCUCUGGACAGUUACUGACGCUGAUGCACGAAGGCCAGGGGAGCAAACGGG